This 148-nucleotide non-coding RNA is filed under the name Homo sapiens (human). Lineage: Eukaryota; Metazoa; Chordata; Mammalia; Primates; Hominidae. The record is from Rfam by way of RNAcentral.
GCCGGGUGUGGUGGUGCACACCUGUAAUCCCAGCUACUCAGGAGGCUGAGGCAGGAGAAUUGCUUGAACCUGGGAGAUGGAGAUUGCAGUGAGCUGAGAUCGUACCACUGCACUGCAGUCUGGGUGACAAAGCAAGACUCUGUCUCAA